GGGUGUGUUUUCUUAAUUUAUUAUACUCAGUUAGAGCUUGACUCAAUAACCAAUAGAUGUACUGAAUACACAGGAUAACAACUUGAGAUCGACUCAGAAUCGGCGCAACUGAACUUGUCUGAGUUUGGUAAGACCAAGAAAACCACUAUAAUGCUCAUUUCCGAGUCAAGACAAGUUUGAACAUCCUAAAUAUUUGCUCUCAGUAAUUACAGACCUUUUAGUACUAUAAAACACAUCAUUAAAUGAAGGAAAUGCGAGCUACAAUCAUGGUCAGUAUAAAACACAUCUCUGUGUGAAGGAAAUUUGAGCUUUCAUCGCAGAUGCAAGGAAGUUAAGUCAAAGAAUACCAUUCAUCACUGAUCACCCUUCUCUUCAGGUUGCUAAAUCGUUCUAUGCAAACAACUACAGCACUAUGAAAACAGAUAUGCAUAACAAAUUACUAUAGCUCUCUGAAGAGGACAGUUAAUAUUCAAUCUCAGCUUCAGAUUCCAGUCGCAUUAAGACCAAAUCUCUGUUUUCUUCCCCCGUGAAGUAUUAAUGUUAUAACUUAAACUAAAUUUAGGUUUCCAGUCGCAUUAAGACCAAAUCUCUGUUUCCUUCCCCCGUGAAGUAUUAAUGUUAUAACUUAAACUAAAUUUAGGUGCUUCUUGUCACGGGUUCGAGCCGUGG
This 669-nucleotide long non-coding RNA is filed under the name Nicotiana benthamiana. Its description in RNAcentral is "long non-coding RNA (NBEN_LNC038814)". The record is from RNAcentral. Lineage: Eukaryota; Viridiplantae; Streptophyta; Magnoliopsida; Solanales; Solanaceae.